RNAcentral lists this non-coding RNA (106 nucleotides) under Aureoumbra lagunensis. Lineage: Eukaryota; Pelagophyceae; Sarcinochrysidales; Sarcinochrysidaceae. The record is from RNAcentral.
GGUUCUCUUCAUGAGUGACUAGUGGGGAAAUUCCUCGGACCCCUUGGCAGAAAUGCCCGAAUCCGCAAGGAUUUGUUUUCUUUGUUUUUGAAAUUUGGGUUAAGAU